This is a long non-coding RNA of Choloepus didactylus (southern two-toed sloth), 822 nucleotides long. RefSeq lists it as uncharacterized. The record is from RefSeq and is a predicted model, not a curated record. Lineage: Eukaryota; Metazoa; Chordata; Mammalia; Pilosa; Megalonychidae. The transcript is spliced from 4 exons.
UAUAUAUUUUUAUGGUUGUUAUAAUUAAUAUGUUUCCAAGUCUGAUUAAUCUAACUAUAUAUAUAUGUAUAUAUAUAAAUGAUUUUUGCAAGUUUUUCCUCCCUACUGUUAAACAAUAACCGUGAGACUCAGGUAUGUAUCCAGCAGACUCCUUUGGAUUUCAUACUUAAAAGUCCAAUUUUUAAUAAGUUAGUUUCUUUCUUUCUACAUUUGUACCUUUUAUUUCUGUUUCAUGUUAAAUUUUAGCUAGACUGUCCUGUUUUAUUCUUGAUGUCUUCAAUACAACUAGAAGCUAGAUUUUCACUGUUUUGUAGACUAGGCAAUGAUGGUAUAAUCCUAAACUUUGAUAACCACAAGUCUCUAUCCUAAUAUUAAAAUAAAAUUUGGUUGAUCCCCAGCCUGAUGAAGAUGGUCCAGUGAGAUACUUCAGGGCUCUAUCCCCCUGCAGAAGCUUUGAACAAACAGCAACAACUAGCAGAACAUCUUUCUCAGAAGACCAGAAGACAGUUAAAAGACUGCAAUAAUGGGCGGUGGGUGAAUGGAGAUGGAUAAAUUAAAACUUUGGGAUUGCAGUCUGGAUGAAUAGCAUAGUAAAAAAGGAAGUGGCUUGUUUUAUUUUUAACUCUUCCAUGCAGGAGAACGAGAAACUGUAUGCUCCUGGCAUUCAAGGGAACCUCUAUCAUAACACUACAUGGAUUUAAGCUUAAGGAUCAGAUGCCUCAGAGUCUAAAUUCCAGUGAUAAUACAUCAAAAUAUCAAAACGCCCAGAACUCAACAAAAGAUUACAAAAUACACAAAGAAAGAAGAAGAGAUGCCCAGGUA